CUUCUAUCAGUGCAAACUGUCCGUGAGGGCAGGACGCAAAGCUACGGGGCUUUAUGCACUCACUUCUUCCUAACAUCCCCCCUUUUUUUAAGGGGGGGGCCUGGGGAGGUGAUGGGUAGUUAGACAAACCAAGCCAGCGGGCUGCCGAG
Molecule: non-coding RNA, 149 nt
Filed under: Chloroflexota bacterium
Lineage: Bacteria; Bacillati; Chloroflexota
Description: Chloroflexi bacterium c-di-GMP sequence
Rfam family: c-di-GMP-I riboswitch aptamer
About the family: GEMM was predicted in a large-scale screen for bacterial structured RNA regulatory elements. Genes associated with GEMM are involved in a diverse array of functions, including chemotaxis regulation, signal transduction, secretion and chitin.
Source: RNAcentral